This 468-nucleotide ribosomal RNA is filed under the name uncultured bacterium. RNAcentral describes it as "partial 16S ribosomal RNA". It matches the Rfam family "Bacterial small subunit ribosomal RNA", at positions 28 to 507 of the family's 1533-position model. The record is from RNAcentral.
GACGAACGCUGGCGGCGUGCUUAACACAUGCAAGUCGAACGGAAAGGCCCUGCUUUUGUGGGGUUCUCGAGUGGCGAACGGGUGAGUAACACGUGAGUAACCUGCCCUUGUCUUUGGGAUAACUUCAGGAAACUGGGGCUAAUACCGGAUAUGAUCUCCUGCUGCAUGGUGGGGGUUGGAAAGUUUCGGCUGUUGGGGAUGGACUCGCGGCUUAUGAGCUUGUUUGUGGGGUAGUGGCUUACCAAGGCUUUGACGGGUAGCCGGCAUGAGGGGUGUAACGGGGACAAGGGGACUGAGAGACGGAGCAGAAUGGUACGGGAGGCAAUAGUGGGGAAUAUGGCACAGUGGGCGGGAGCGUGAGACAAAAGCGUCGGGUGCGGGAUGACGGGCUUCGGGGUAUAAACAGCUGUGGACUGUGACGAAGCGGGAGUGACGGUAAUGGAUAAAGAAGCACCGGCUAACUACGUG